This is a long non-coding RNA of Oncorhynchus masou masou (cherry salmon), 1879 nucleotides long. RefSeq lists it as uncharacterized. The transcript is spliced from 4 exons. NCBI's taxonomy places the organism in Eukaryota, Metazoa, Chordata, Actinopteri, Salmoniformes, Salmonidae. The record is from RefSeq and is a predicted model, not a curated record.
UACAAUGGCACUAGAAUCACAGUUUCACUUUGUUAUCUUCCAGUCAGUAGACUAAGUCUUCAUCAGUGGAUAGAUAGGCAUGCAACUAGGCCACUAAACGGAGUCACGAGCUUUAUUCACUCGGCCCAUUUCACUAUAGAUUAUAGGAGGAGUCAUGUGAAAUAUAAUAUAUUAAAAUCGAAAUUCCAGUUCAUACCGAGAACGAAACUGCUAUUCUAAAGUUUAAAGGGAAGUAGCCUAGAACAGAAAGCAUUACCUCAGUUUCUGUUAAUGGUCUGCGAAAAUACACAAUAUAAUCUUGGAAUUUACCUCCACACUCACAGCUGAAACAUGGCGAAGAUGACCCCACUGUUUAUGUUCCUCGUACUCUCUGCAACCAAAGAGCUGUUCAGAGGAGGCUGUGCGUUAUGUGACUCUCCUCCAUCUUCACAUACGCCUGUUGGUGUCCGGGAGGGAGAGAUGGCAGUGCUACAGUGCUCACUGCGGACCAGCAUGGCAGGGCACAGGGAGGGGAUCCUGACCCUGGCAUGGAGCAACCACUCUGGGCCUGGGGAGCUUCAGGAGCCUGCGGUGUGGAUGUCUGAAGACACUCGUCAUCCUGAGGGUCUCUCCCAACCAACAGGGGUUCUACUCCUGCUCACUACUCAACGCCAGUGGCCAGCCCCUGAGGACAGAGUGGUUUAACGUCACAGUGUUCUCUGGCCAGUGUUACACAGAUAGGACUGCAUAUUCAGUCACGUGCUAUCUGAGACAGUCCUGUGAAAAGUUAACCUGCACGUCAAACAGCGUCCCACAAAACUUCACAAAACAUAAUUAUACGUGGUACAAGGUAUGACCUCUUCUUUUCUUCACCCCCUCCCCCCUCCCCCCUCCCCCAGCAGAUGACAAAGUAGUAGUAAAUAUCCACUGAUGUUGAGUUUCCACUAGUUCUUCUUACUUGCCUUUGGCUAAAACUAAAAACAUGCGUCAUUACAUGUGCUUGAAGAGGUGAGUUUUCCCUCUAGCCGUUGGCAAGCUGCUAUUGAAAAGUCUGUAGAUUUUUUUCCACGAGACCAAAAGCCACAGGGUGUUUCCCUGUUAUAUCAUGUUUUUCCCCUGGCCUGAGUGGGUGUCCUCGCUAGCAUAGGGACCAGCAUCAACGAUUUAGUUCACCAGUCAUGGAUGGUGCAGCAAAACUCUCACAACUCUGUUAUGUGAUUAGCAUCAAUAGACACUGGCAUUGUAUUACCUGUUUAUUACCAGUUGAUUACCAGAUGAUUACCAGGUGAUUACCAGUUGAUUACCAGGUGAUUACCAGUUGAUUACCAGGUGAUUACCAGGUGAUUACCAGGUGCUUACCUGUUUAUUAAUCACAUUUAUUUAUAAAGUCCUUUUUACAUCAGCAGAUGUGACAAAGUGCUCAUACAGAAACCAAGUCUAAAACCCCAAGCAGCAAGCAAUGCAAAUGUAGAAGCAUGGUGGCUAGGAAAACCUCCCUGUGUAUUAUGUGUCCUGUUAUUGCCUGUGUAUUACCUGUUAUUGCCUGUUUAUUACCUGUUAUUACCUGGUAUUACCUGUUUAUUACCUGUUUAUUACCUGUUAUUACCUGUUAUUGCCUGUUAUUACCUGUUAUUGCCUGUUUAUUGCCUGGUAUUACCUGUUUAUUACCUGUUUAUUACCUGUUAUUGCCUGUGUAUUACCUGUUAUUGCCUGUUUAUUGCCUGUGUAUUACCUGUUUAUUACCUGUUUAUUACCUGUUAUUGCCUGUGUAUUACCUGUUUAUUACCUGGUAUUACCUGUUUUUACCUGUUUAUUACCUGUUAUUGCCUGUUAUUGCCUGUUAUUACCUGUUAUUGCCUGUGUAUUACCUGUUAUUGCCUGUUAUUGCCUGUUAUUACCU